GACACUGCAAUCGCUUCGACGACAUCCCGCAAGGUUGUCUAGGAGUGUUGUUGUUGUGCUCGUUGGAUGCAUUUGCGUGCGGAGUGCGCCGAGUGGGUCGAUGUCGCUGCCGGAAGGGCGUAUAGAGGACUCGGGUUUUCGGACUCGAGAAUCCUGUGCGUUCGGAUAGCAGGUGAUGUUGGCUCGCUGUUGUGGAGUGCGGGUGAAUUCGCGAUGGGUGUCGGUUGUGAGUUGUGGUUGCGGAU
This 245-nucleotide ribosomal RNA is filed under the name Aphelenchoides besseyi. Its description in RNAcentral is "partial 28S ribosomal RNA". Lineage: Eukaryota; Metazoa; Nematoda; Chromadorea; Rhabditida; Aphelenchoididae. The record is from RNAcentral.